This is a non-coding RNA of Triticum urartu, 161 nucleotides long. NCBI's taxonomy places the organism in Eukaryota, Viridiplantae, Streptophyta, Magnoliopsida, Poales, Poaceae. The record is from Rfam.
CUUCUAUUACCUCCGUCCCAAAAAGCUUGUCUUACAUUUAUCUAAAUACAGAUGUAACACUAAAAUCCGCAUGUAGACAGAUCUAAGACAAGCUUUUUGAGACGGUACAUCCGUAUCUUCACAAAUCUAAAACAAGCUUUUUGGGACGGAGGGAGUAUGAA